CCCUUAGAUGUUCUGGGCUGCACGCGCGCUACACUGAUGCAUGCAACGAGUUUUCGACCUUGCCUGAAAAGGUUGGGUAAUCUGUUUAACAUGUGUCGUGAUGGGGAUAGACCAUUGCAAUUAUUGAUCUUCAACGAGGAAUUCCUAGUAAGCGCGAGUCAUCAGCUCGUGCUGAUUAUGUCCCUGCCCUUUGUACACACCACCCGUCACUCCUACCGAUUGAGUGAUCCGGUGAAUGAUUCGGACCAGCGUGCUGCUCAGAUCCUGCGCAGUGUGCUGGGAAGUCUAGUGAACCUUAUCACUUAGAGGAUGGAGAAGUCGUAACA
RNAcentral lists this ribosomal RNA (326 nucleotides) under uncultured eukaryote. RNAcentral's name for it is "partial 18S ribosomal RNA". It matches the Rfam family "Eukaryotic small subunit ribosomal RNA", at positions 1470 to 1796 of the family's 1831-position model. The record is from RNAcentral.